UGGCUGCGUGCUUAACACAUGCAAGUCGAACGCUGAAGCCGACAGCUUGCUGUUGGUGGAUGAGUGGCGAACGGGUGAGUAACACGUGAGUAACCUGCCCCUGAUUUCGGGAUAAGCCUGGGAAACUGGGUCUAAUACCGGAUACGACCACCUGACGCAUGUUGGGUGGUGGAAAGUUUUUCGAUCGGGGAUGGGCUCGCGGCCUAUCAGCUUGUUGGUGGGGUAAUGGCCUACCAAGGCGACGACGGGUAGCCGGCCUGAGAGGGCGACCGGCCACACUGGGACUGAGACACGGCCCAGACUCCUACGGGAGGCAGCAGUGGGGAAUAUUGCACAAUGGGGGAAACCCUGAUGCAGCGACGCAGCGUGCGGGAUGACGGCCUUCGGGUUGUAAACCGCUUUCAGCAGGGAAGAAGCGAAAGUGACGGUACCUGCAGAAGAAGUACCGGCAAUUAUU
This 457-nucleotide ribosomal RNA is filed under the name Brevibacterium sp. SSCA9. Its description in RNAcentral is "bacterial SSU rRNA". It matches the Rfam family "Bacterial small subunit ribosomal RNA", at positions 37 to 504 of the family's 1533-position model. The record is from RNAcentral. Lineage: Bacteria; Bacillati; Actinomycetota; Actinomycetes; Micrococcales; Brevibacteriaceae.